GACUCGACUUCGAUCCGAGUGGUUAGAGCUUCCGCCUCGGACGUGGGAGGUCGUGGGUUUGAUCUCCGGUCGAGUCA
Non-coding RNA from Potamilus streckersoni, 77 nucleotides. Lineage: Eukaryota; Metazoa; Mollusca; Bivalvia; Unionida; Unionidae. The record is from the annotation of a GenBank genome assembly.